AUGCCGGCCUGGGCCGACUUCGACUCGGAUUCAAACACUUCACUGCCUCCCGCGUCCUUAUUUUCUUGCUCGCCGUGUUUCCCCAAAUCCCGAUCCAUCAGACCACGCCCUCCGAUCAGCCUCCCUCGAUCCAUCUUCCUCUCUCUCUCAGUGCCGGAUCGUUGCUCCUCGAUCAACUCCGCGGCCGCGACCAUGGCCGGCACCACGGUGCUCCCGCCGUCUCUGCUCCCGCGCCGUAGCGCCGCCGCCUCCGCCGACCUGCACUCCUGCUCCUCCCGCGUGCGCGUGAACCCUGCCUUGAUGGCGAACCCCGCGGCUGCCAAGAAGCCAAAGCGCCCCGGAUCCAUGCGCGGCGAGCAACCGCCGCCGGCGAAGCGCCUACGCGGUGCCUGCUCCGGGGGCGAGCUCCAUGUCGCCGUCCCCGCCAACAUCAAGAACGGCAGCAAGCUUCCGUCUCCCAUCAGCGGCAAGGAUCUGCUCCACUCCUCCGCAAUCAAGAACCAGGUCGCCGAAUCUCCGGCUGCCGCGACGCAAUCGAAGCCGCAGAUGAGCAUGCGCGAACUGAUCGCGAACGCUCGCCUCACCAUGGCUCGCCUCGACAAGGCUCGCUCUGCCUCCAAAGAAGAGGCCAACCGUCGGCAGGAGAUCGAGCGCAGCAGAGCAGAGGCCCGGCGAAAGAUGGAGCAGAUGGCGGACACGGUGCAGUUCAACGACCCCUGGAUCCAUCACUCCGACGUGACCAAGUCCCCUGAGGAGCUGCUCAAAGCAAGACAGCACGCAUGGCGUUAUCAAGCUCACCUCCUCGAGAUGGCUCGUCGACGGGACUUUGCUCAAGCGAUGCAAAUCCAGGAUGAGCGCUCGGGUGAUGGAAGCAGAGGAAGAAAUCAUCAGCAGUGCAGGCUUGCUGGUGGUAGUCUUGCAUCAGAGGAAGCAAAGCAGAGUUAA
RNAcentral lists this ribosomal RNA (945 nucleotides) under Triticum aestivum (bread wheat). RNAcentral describes it as "partial small subunit ribosomal RNA". Lineage: Eukaryota; Viridiplantae; Streptophyta; Magnoliopsida; Poales; Poaceae. The record is from RNAcentral.